ACGCGAAGCCGCGGGUGGAGCAAAUCCCUAAAAAGACCGGUCUCAGUUCGGAUUGCAGGCUGCAAUUCGCCUGCAUGAAGUCGGAAUCGCUAGUAAUCGCAGGUCAGCAUACUGCGGUGAAUACGUUCCCGGGCCUU
RNAcentral lists this ribosomal RNA (137 nucleotides) under uncultured Peptococcaceae bacterium. RNAcentral's name for it is "partial 16S ribosomal RNA". It matches the Rfam family "Bacterial small subunit ribosomal RNA", at positions 1247 to 1382 of the family's 1533-position model. The record is from RNAcentral. Lineage: Bacteria; Bacillati; Bacillota; Clostridia; Eubacteriales; Peptococcaceae.